UAUUGGACAAUGGGCGAAAGCCUGAUCCAGCCAUGCCGCGUGUGUGAAGAAGGUCUUCGGAUUGUAAAGCACUUUAAGUUGGGAGGAAGGGUUGUAGGUUAAUACCCUGCAAUUUUGACGUUACCAACAGAAUAAGCACCGGCUAACUUCGUGCCAGCAGCCGCGGUAAUACGAAGGGUGCAAGCGUUAAUCGGAAUUACUGGGCGUAAAGCGCGCGUAGGUGGUUCGUUAAGUUGGAAGUGAAAGCCCCGGGCUUAACCUGGGAAUUGCAUCCAAAACUGUCUGACUAGAGUAUGGCAGAGGGUGGUGGAAUUUCCUGUGUAGCGGUGAAAUGCGUAGAUAUAGGAAGGAACACCAGUGGCGAAGGCGACUUACUGGACCGUAACUGACGCUGAGUCACGAAAGCGUGGGUAGCAAACAGG
This 422-nucleotide ribosomal RNA is filed under the name uncultured bacterium. RNAcentral describes it as "partial 16S ribosomal RNA". It matches the Rfam family "Bacterial small subunit ribosomal RNA", at positions 362 to 776 of the family's 1533-position model. The record is from RNAcentral.